UGUGAAUUUUGAAAAUCAUAUAAUAAAAAAUUGAAACACAUACCGAAUAAAAAAGAGGCUAUAAUUUCUCAUCAAUAAAAAUGGAUUUAAUAAGAUCAAUCCAAGAUUCCAAGCAGGUGGUAUGUUGAGGUGGAUCGGGUCAUAUCAGGUAUGGUCGGGUCGGGUCGGCCCACGGCCAAGCCCAAUCCUAAACCUUCACUCGGCCCUUCGUCUCCUACCAGUCUUCCUCAUCUUCAUCGUAUUCGGCUUCAGCUAGGACCAGACCACCAGCUUCGUCGUCGUCGUCUUCUUUUUCUUCAGUUUCUUUGGAGGCUUUAUAAUCACUAAAUGGAAGGGAUGAAGAAAGAGUUCUGUGUUUCCCCAAUUUUUUCUCCUUUUUUGGUCCAAUAAGUCGAUUCCUUUCCUGUCACUUUGUUGUCCAUCAUCCACUCGUGCUAAUGAAAUGAGACACUCGGCAGCUGAAUUGGCGGGAGUUAUUGGCCGGGCAUUGGUUAUGGCGGCCAACAAAAUGUCACCGGUUCAGAUUUGGUCCCCGUCAUUGGAACAAACAUUGCAUCAGCUUGGCUGUCGAGAUUUCCUCACUCCGACCCUUGUUGGACGAGUGAUCGAUCCUUUCCUCCUCGGCAAUCAUCACCUUGCUUUUGGAUUCUUCAAUUGGGCUGCCCAGCAACCUGGAUUCAGUCACUCCUCUGUCUCUUACCAAUCUGUGCUGAAAUCUCUCUCCAUGUCUCGGCAGUACAGCUCCAUUGACAAGCUCUUGAAGCAAGCCAGGGUGCAGAGGAUUGCAUUGCAUCCUUCUGUUCAUCGUUUGAUCAUUAGUUCACUUAUCUCAGGACGGAGAACCCAUGUGGCGUUCUUGGUGUUUAAUGAGAUUGGCGCAGCAGUCCGGGAGAUCGGGCCUGAAGUUUGUAACUCACUUCUAGCAGCAUUGUCGUCUGAAGGGAAUGUAACGAAUGCAUAUAAGGUGUUCGAUGAAAUGGUCAAGAGAGGCGUUCCUUUGAGUACACUUGGUUUUGGGGUUUUCUUAUGGCGAGCUUGCAGAAAGACGGGAUUAAGUGAGAUUUUUAACUUUUUGGACGAGUUUAAGAAGUUUAACUCCAAGGGGUUCGACGGAUCCAUCAUUGCUCUUUUAACAGUUCAUGGAUUGUGCAUGGAUUCUCGAGCGAAGGAGGCGGCAUCUGCUUUAGAAGAGUUGAGAAAACGAAACUGCAAGCCUGAUUUCAUGGCAUACAGAAUUGUAGCCGAGGCGUUGCGCGAGAUCGGGGAUGUGGUUGACGUCGAGAUGGUUCUGAAAAAGAAGCGUAAGUUAGGCGUGGCGCCGAGAAUGGAUGACUACAGAGAACUUAUUCUUCAGUUUGUUUCCGAGCGGCUGAUAAAUGAAGCUAAGGAAUUGGGUGAAGUAAUCGUGCUCGGAAAUUUCCCAAUGGACGACGAUGUUCUGAAUGUCCUCAUAGGAUCUGCAUCCGCUUCCGACCCUUUACAAGCCGUCUCAUUUUUAAGGUUUAUGGUCGAGAAAGAAAGAUUCCCAGCUCUUCGAACAUUGAUCAAAUUGAGCGAAAAUCUCUGCAAGCUAGAGAAAGGCGACGAGUUGGUAGAAGUUUUCCAGCUCUUGUCGACAAAAGAUUACUUCUACAACAUGGAGAGUUAUUCUGUGAUGGUUUCGUUCCUUUGCAAAGCUGCAAGAAUCAAAGAAGGUUAUCGGGUUCUUCAGGAGAUGAAGAAAAAAGGCCUGUCUCCAGAUGUUUCGAUUUACAAUUCUCUCCUCGACGCUUGCUGCAGGGAGGAUCUAAUCCGGCCUGCGAAACGCCUCUGGGAUGAAAUGUUCGCCAGCGGCUGUUGUGGCGAUUUGAAGAGCUACAACAUCCUCAUUAAAAAGUUUUCUGAGCUAGGACAAGUUGAAGACGCCUGUCGCCUGUUCGAUCUCAUGUUUGUUAAAGGAACGGAACCUAAUGAGUCGACGUACAAAAUUCUCCUUCAGAGCCUUUGCGAAGCGAAAGAUCUCGAAAUGGCUGUUCGAAUCUUCGACAAAUCUGUCGAACAGGACGCAACACUCGGAAACAGAUUGCUGCCUGGAUUCAUUCUCUGUUUAUGCAAAUCAGGUUUCCAUCGCCGGGCUUGUAAAUUGCUGCAAAGCGGCGUUGCCUACGAUCAGGAGUCGAAUUUAACUUUACUGAGACAUUUGGCUAACAUUGGAGAGCUUCCAAUGGCUACCAAACACCUUCAAUGGAUUGCAGAGAAAUUCCCUGCAGUGGUACAUGCUAUUCGAAUCGAAUUAGCUUCGGCAUGGCUUCCAUCUUCUUUGAAACCGGACCCGAUCGAGAUGCUGUUGGUGGAAAUAGUGAAGGUAUCCAAGCUUGCUAUAUAACAUCCAUAUAUAUAUAUAUAUGUAUAUAUUGUUGGGAUCAAUGGCCAAUCCAAUAAAUGAAGAAAUACAGGAAGAAAAAAGGCUUCAAUUUUGAGUAAUGCAGGUGGAGGAGGUGAGGCAAUCAAUGGAUAGAAGAUGCCGGAAUUGUGAAAAGCUUAGGGUGUGUUUGUUUGGGGGUUUGAAUUUUGAGUUGAGAUUUGAAUAGUAAAAUUUUUGAAUUUGAAUAGUGUACGAUGUGAUACAAAUAGGUGUUGAUGUGAUAUUUUGAAUGUAAAAUUGAUUUUUAGUAUAAUAUAAAAAAAAUAAAAUAGGUCUUUGAUUUGAUUUUUUUGGGGAGAAAAUGGAAUGAAUAGUGAAGAUCUAAUCCAAUUUCCCAAACAAACACACCCUUAGUGUACAGAGGUAUGGUAUUUAAUUUCUUGGAAUAUUUUCUAAUUAGGUAUUUAAAAUCGGAUCCUGUCGAAAUUUUUUUGGGUAGAAUAUGUAUCACAAAUGGUGUGAUAAACUAACUUUUAGAUGGUUUGUUUGUUUAGUGUUUUGAUCCGAAGAUUUUUUUUUUUUUUUUCUUUUAAUGUGAGAUAUAUAGAUCAUAUCGAAAAUAUAAACUAUAAUGUUUCUUGGCUAAUUUUUUAGACUAAAAAAUAAUAAAUAUUUUAUUGCAAAAAUGAUAAUAGAUAAGUUAUUUUUAAAAUUUUAAUUAAAAAUUAAGAUAAAUUAAAGAAAAAAAAAAAAGAAUAAAUUUACUAUUUAUAUAGCAUCAGACAAUUUUACUAAACACAUCUAUCUAUCAGAAGACUUGUAUUAUAUACACAAGUUUAUUAAGAAAAACACCAAAGCUUACACGAAAUUAAAAUCACCAAAACAGAUAGAUCUACUGCAGCUGCUGCUAAUUUUGCAUUAUUUGUAUACACAAAACACAUUCUCGCUGUACCCAGAGAGAAGAAUCAAAUCCAGCACUGCUAAAAUAAUAAACUGUAACCAAACACAAACAACACCAAACCAAACAGGAAAUCCAACGAAAACCCGAAACCGAAAAUCUUGCAGUUAAAAA
RNA transcript from Andrographis paniculata, 3416 nucleotides. It is a transcript of the gene named pentatricopeptide repeat-containing protein At5g14080, with no coding region annotated. NCBI's taxonomy places the organism in Eukaryota, Viridiplantae, Streptophyta, Magnoliopsida, Lamiales, Acanthaceae. The record is from RefSeq and is a predicted model, not a curated record. The transcript has 4 exons.